UUAUUAUCACUGCACGUCGGGAUCAGCUGAUAUGAAACUUUAUUUCACACAUUUAUAUAUGGAUGAACAUCGAAAAAAAUAUUUAAAUGACGAAAUCAGUGAGUGUAACGUUAUAAAUAAGAAUGUUUGGCUGUAGAUGUACCAUAUUUUGUCCACAUCGUCGAUCUUUUUGCUGCAAAUAAAAGCGAAACUAAUCUCAAGGGCGACAAUAAACAAACAGUGAAGAGACAGAGACAUUCAGAGGUCCUGAUGACCUCUAUACUGUCAGCAGCAGAGUGACUGUGGAGAAGAGACACAGCAACAAGUUCACCUGCAGAGUCCAGCAGAACAACAUCAACCAGAGCAGAGAGACAUGGAUUCAUGUUCCAGAUGAUUUUGUCACAGUUGCUGCCACCAUCGGUUUGAUUGCUGGCAUCAUGUUUAUUGUUGCAGUCGUCGUCUUUGUGUGGAAAUGGAGACAAAUCAAACUGAAGAAGAAGAAGCACCACGGCGAUGAAGAAAAAGUGAAAACUAGAGAGAAGACGAACAGCUCUGGAGAAAUGAUGCUUUAACAGAGUCUCUGAUUGAAAGAGAAGCAGCAGAAAAUGUGAAAAUGCAGAGAAAUCCCUUGAGUGAAACAACAGGAUCUGACAUUCAGACAGAAGAUGAAACACACCAGAGUCAAACUAGUAAUCAUCUGAUUCAAACACAAGAAGAGACGGAGACACAACAUGGUCCUGGAGGAGCAGAACUACAGGCUUUAGUGGAUAGACAAAGACAAACAUACCAACCUCUGGAGACCAUGAGUGAUUCAGAUAAAGAUCAAGAAGACACAGCAACCAGUGAAAAUAGUCCAGUAGAAAGAGAUGUGAACAAUGGAGGUGAUAAGACUGAAGCUGUAAGAGAAAACACAAACAGUGAAAUGGAUGAAGAAACAAAACAAGAGCAGCUGAUAGAAGUAAAAAAUACAGAAAAUAAUCUACAGGCAGAAGAAGAAAAGAAUCUGCAGGAAGUUCAGCCUUGUCUGGACAAAGAGAUGGAAAAACUGAAGUCAAAGCUGCAGCCUAAAGAACAAGAUGAGAGACAAUAUGAAAAACGAGUUACGAGACUGAUGGGAAACAAGACAGAACAAGAGAAGCAGAUUAAAGAUCUCAAAGAGCAGCUGGAAGAAGUGGAGAGAAAACUUCAGUCAAAGAAUGAAAAUGAAGAAACACAGAUAGAAGAAGAUGAGAAAGAUCUGCAGAGGAAGAAAGAAGAACUUCAGAAACAGCUGAAGAGACUAGAGACGGCUCUGGAAAGAUCUAAUAAAGUAGUGGAUACUAUGACACAGAGGAAAAUGAAAGCAACUAAAGAAAAAGAGGAGACUAUUAGAAAAUUAGAGAUGAAGAACAGGAAUGAAAAUCAGAGUGAGUCAGACGAAGAUCUUGGAUGAUGAUGAAACUCAAGUUAAGAUGGAGGGAAACAGGGUUGAUUGGUGUGAACGGGAUUUUUCUUGAUGACUAAUUUUACGUCACUCAAAUAGGAAAGUUGGAUUACUUUUUUUUUUACAUUAUUCUUAAAACAAUUUUAACUUACAAGUCUUAAAUCUAACUUCAAAAUCAGUGAAAAGUUACAGAAAAAAUAUAUUUAAAAAAUUGGACGGCAGUUAGAGAAUCAGAGUGUCAGACGAUGAUUUUUAAUGAAGUGAUGAUGAUGAAACUCAAACUAAGAAGCAGGGAAACAGGGUUGAUUUUGGUGACAGAUUUUGUGUCAAACUGCUUUUUUUUACAUUCUUGGUUAAAUCUUUUUAUUUACUGCACUGCGGGAAAAAAAUGUCAAAAAUGUGAAAAUCUGGUAGCAAUGUUGAAAGAAAAACUAUGUCAAAACUGUUCAAAAUUGUGAAAUUAACAGCAACUAUCCGUAAAAUAAUGUUAUUUUAAUUUUUUGCAUAUUUCAAUACAAUGAAACUGUAAUUUUAUAGUUGCAAUAUACAUUGUGAAAGAUUGAAUCACUAUUUGUACAAAUACUGCUUUUUAUUUUUGACACUGGUUCCAGUUUUGGUCUUUUUUUCCCAUGAAGAUUUAUUUCUUCAUGUUUUAGAAGAGUUUCUCUGCUGGUAUUGAUAGUUAAUAUGUUGUCUGAUUCCAUUUUUAUUGCACAGUUUUUGUGCAAUAAGGUUGUUUUUUAUUCCUUUCAAUCACAGAGCUGCUGUUUUAUUCCACAUUAAAGUUCAUUCUUGACUGUGGGAGUCUACACCAGUCCAGCUUUGCUGAGUUUCUGUAUAUUA
Molecule: long non-coding RNA, 2245 nt
Organism: Amphiprion ocellaris (clown anemonefish)
Lineage: Eukaryota; Metazoa; Chordata; Actinopteri; Pomacentridae
Exons: 3
Source: RefSeq, a predicted model, not a curated record